UCUAAAUCUUUCUUCCGAGGCUAGUGAGCGUUUUUUAUUUUUGUGGAUACGACCACGAUAUCUCAAUUUUUUUUGUCAUUAGAGUUGAAUGAAUGAUGUAAUUCGAACGAUUACACACGGAAAUCGAGGAUUUUAAGUAGUUUCCGUAUCUGUUUUUAUCCUUCUGCGCGUUUAGAAGCCGAUUCUGCGUUAUUUUUGAUAUUUAUUUUAAAAUUGUUCGCUCAGUCCCAAUCAAAUCAUUUGUAUUGUAACAAAAAGUAUUUAAAUCCUAAUCCGUUUAUUUUUUUUUUAUUAGUUUGUUUAUCGGUUUUUAAUAUAUAAACAGAAAAUGCUUUCGACAAAAUGAGUUAUAUACAAAUAGUGUGCGAAUG
Molecule: ribosomal RNA, 371 nt
Filed under: Ribes rotundifolium
Lineage: Eukaryota; Viridiplantae; Streptophyta; Magnoliopsida; Saxifragales; Grossulariaceae
Source: RNAcentral